This 777-nucleotide ribosomal RNA is filed under the name uncultured Neocallimastigales. RNAcentral describes it as "partial large subunit ribosomal RNA". It matches the Rfam family "Eukaryotic large subunit ribosomal RNA", at positions 23 to 645 of the family's 3401-position model. The record is from RNAcentral. Lineage: Eukaryota; Fungi; Neocallimastigomycota; Neocallimastigomycetes; Neocallimastigales.
GAGACUCUGUGUGCGUGCAUAUCAAUAAGCGGAGGAAAAGAAACUAACAAGGAUUCCCUUAGUAACGGUGAGUGAAGCGGGAAGAGCUCAAAUUUGAAAUCUUCAAGGUUUUACCUUGACGAAUUGUAGUUUAAAGAAGUGUUUUCUGUUGGAGUUUUGGUAAAAGUUCUUUGGAAUAGGACAUCAUAGAGGGUGAGAAUCCCGUAUUUGACCAUUAUUUCCAGCUGUGUGAUACACUUUCAAAGAGUCGGAUUGUUUGGGAAUGCAGUCCAAAAUGGGUGGUAAAUUUCAUCUAAAGCUAAAUAUUGGCGAGAGACCGAUAGCGAACAAGUACCGUGAGGGAAAGAUGAAAAGAACUUUGAAAAGAGAGUUAAACAGUACGUGAAAUUGUCAAAAGGGAAGCGUUUGACACCAGUGUUGUUUUCUCGAAAAUCAAUUAAAAAUGAUGGGAUUUUGUGUUGUAUUGACUUUAUCAGCUUUCUGCACUUUUUUCUUAUCUUUUUUAAUGCACUUUCUCGUUUAACAAGUCAACAUCAAUUUCUUUUGUUGUAAAAGAGUCAUUGGAAGGUGGCUUUUUCUUCGGAAAAAGUGUUUAUAGCCUUUGGCUUCUGCAAUCGGAGAGAUUGAGGUCUGCAGCGUAGAUCCUUCGGGGUUAGAUACAUUUGUGCUAAGCUAUAGUUCCUUGUAUAGACAACUUGUUGACUAUGAUCAGUCCUGUAGCUUACUCGCUUAUGCUAUUUUACCUACGCUUAGGAUGUUGAAGUCAUCGUAUCGCGC